Asparagus officinalis (garden asparagus) is the source of this 1789-nucleotide long non-coding RNA. RefSeq lists it as uncharacterized. The record is from RefSeq and is a predicted model, not a curated record. The transcript has 7 exons. NCBI's taxonomy places the organism in Eukaryota, Viridiplantae, Streptophyta, Magnoliopsida, Asparagales, Asparagaceae.
AAACCAAAACAAACACCCCCUAACCCUUUAUUUAUUUCCCAUCCUCUUUCAUAACCCAAAUUAUCCCCUUCGUUAUCCACCCUCUCCCCUGCCCCUCUCCCUCUCCCCUUGAUAACAGACAAAAUCGAACCGAUCUCUUGCCUUCCCCUCUCCCUCUCUCUUUGAUAACGCCCAAAUCCCUUAAUUACCUUCGUUAUCGGUGCUUUCCCCUGCCCCUCUCCCUCUCUCCGUCUCUAAAUUAAACUAACGUUUGGACUCCUCACUUCAGUUUCCGUCUCCUUCUCACCUGCUCUCCCCAUCCAUUUUGUGUUUCUAUAAAUACCUUCUGCUUCAAUUUUGAUGGAACAAAUAAGUUUUUUUUUUUCAAAUUGUAUUGUGUCCAAUAUUGAUUGGAGGAGUAGAAAGCUAUCAAGAAUGAAAGAUUAAGAACAAACAACAACUACAGCAAGGAAAACAAGAAAAAACCCCAGUAGAUGAGAUCAAACAAUACCAAGAUGCGAGAUGGGUAUCAUCACAAGAAGCAAUUUGGUGAUCAAGGUGGAGUUAUAUUUGAGAAUGAUGGAAUUAUUUACAACUGCGCAUUCUCCAUUUGUGAUCAAGGAAGAGGACUUAAUGAAUUCCAUUUUUUUUCCUGAUGUGCCAAUCCCGCUUCGAUUGUCAAGCCAUCUUUUGCUUGGUGUGGUCAGAAUAUAUUCCAAAAAGGUUGAAAUGAAUGGAAAGAAGACUACUACUCUAUAAGUUCUUGAAAUCAAAGAAAGGAGACUACUACUCAUUGUUCUAUUUAGAUGCGCAGCAGUUUCUUUGAUGAUGUUUCAGAUUCUAUUUUUAUCUUGUGAGGUGCCUUCUGAUUUGAGCUAGCCAUUUUUUUCCCAUUUCAGCUAUUUAAAGUGUGUUCAUGCUCUUUUUUGUAUCAAGGGAAAUAAAUUAAUACCUCACCUUUUCAUUCAUGUCUAUUGAAUUGUAAUUCUAGAUGAUCCAUCAAGCUUCACGCACGUUCAAAGUUUAUAACUAUCGCUUCUUUCAAUCAUUUUUUUUUGUUUCCAGCUCACUUAUUCAUAUAUCCCUACAAGAUUAAGAGCAUGUGCUCGAUAUCUCAGUUUCUACCCUUGCGUAUUCAUGUUAAAAGACAUUUUCUCGAUCGGUGAUCAGCUGCUUAUGGUUUUUAAGUUUUGUUUUUGCAUGUAACAUGUGCCUUAUCUUCCCAGUAAACUUGUGACUUGGCAUAUUCUUUUAUGCUUCUCUUUUCCCAUUGAACAUUAUGCUGAAUAUUAGUUAUUUGCAGUUAAGAUCAACUAACAUUUUCUUGAUUGUGUGGUCACUUUUAUCACGUGCACCAUAUAUAUGAUUGAUUAAAUUCCUUCUCUAUGGAUAAUAUUCUAAGUCCUGUGAGAUAAUGUUUUAUUUGCAUUCAUCUUGUGUAUAAAUUCAAUGCAUAAUUACGAAAACAUUAUGGAUUUUGACUAUUGUAGUUUCUUAAUAUGCAUCACGUGCAGCGCACGUAUAGCAUACUAGUAAAUCAAAAAAAAAAGCUAGAAAAGGAAACCGUAAACCCGUGUAAUGCCGUGUUAAACUUGUAGAAAUUAUUUCCAUCAGGAAGCGCCAUCUCAAAUUACAACAGAUGAGCCCUAGAGUUCAAUGGCGUAAUUAAGUGCUUAGCGCUGCAACUUCAUUCGAAUCCGAACCCCUCAUCACUCGCUGAGAACUCGUGAUCUUGACCUGCAUAACGUCAGUUUCUACCAUCUGCUGCUAUGUGAAACUUCCCUCCAAAGAUGUCUUUUUUUUUUAAUAA